CUAGUUCAGCGAUGCUCUCAUCAUGCUGCUUUGCUCAUGAGAGGCAAGACGGCUCUGCACGCGUGCUACGGUGCCCACCCCUCCCCCAGCACCAGCGUCUCGCGCCGGCAGCCUGCCAGGAGGACAACCGCCACCGCCUCUCCCUCCCACGUGACACCACGCGGUAGUUCCCCGCCCCGCGCGCCGCAUUCAAACGCCGGCCUGUUCCGGGGCGUGCGCGCGCUCGGUAGACUCCUCCCCUCCCUCUCUGGGGGGGCUUCUCACCAUGUCAGGCAAGGAGCAGCAGCACCAGACCCCCGGCGCGAGAGCGGGGCCGGCGCGAGACCAGGAGGCCGCGCGGCUGCAGGAGGAGCUAAAGUCUCUUGAGCAGAUGCAUUCAUCCCUGAGAGCCCUCCAUCAAAUGGUUGCCUCCUGUAAUGAGACCAUAAAUUCUCUUGUCCAGAAUAACAACACAUUAACAGACAUGAAUAAAGGCUGGCAGAUUUUCUUCACUGGACAGAGAGGAGAUUUAAAGUAACUUGUUUCAUACUCCUUAUGCUAUAUUUUGAAUGCUUUUUAAAAAAGCACAAGUUGGAAAUCAAAUUAAUUAUCUUGAAGUGGAAUCUUGCUAAACCCUCACGGAAUUGUUUGUCAUUGAUUCAACUGGAUUGAACAUAUUUGCAACUACAGGCUUGGUCAUCAGCCAUAGACAACAACUUGGAGCUGAAAACAUCCCAUCAACUGUAAAGAAGAUAGAUGUUUUUUAAUAUUGGACUUGAAGUGGCUUAACAACGAACACACCUUAAAGUAGUGGACUCACUGCAACCUCAUUUUUGUUAUUUCUGAAGUGUCUUAUUACAUUCUUCAUUUUCUAAUUCCUGUCUUGAGGUCUACUGCUUACAUUUUUGUUUACAUAAAUGACCUGUUUUAUUAAAAUACUCUGGCUGUCAAGGUACUCACUUCUUCAAAUUGAAACUUGCAAUGGAGGAAUUUUACAAGCAGUGGGAAUGCUUCAUAGCUAUGGAGAUUACUGACCCUAGCAGUUGACUUCAGCAUGUUGUCUUCUGUCCACAGGAUAUUAAUACUAAAGGUAAUGCACUAUGAAGGAAUAUUUACUUAUCAGGUGUGCAGUGGUGAUUGUAUCUAUAUACAAUAACAUGCAGCACCAGCCCCAUUCUUCCAACAUUUUAAAGCCAUGAUCAGUAAUUUGUAUUCAUCCAUGCAUAAAUUGCAUGAAAGUUGGCCAGUUUGGUCGAGGGAUGGAGAUAUUAGCUAAACUUGUUCUAAGCAUCACAGCUGUAAAAUGGGUCAGAAAACCAAAGAUGAUAGCCUGUCAAUUUCACUGAUAUUACAUUUCCUAAAGAAUCAGAUAAAACAUAUAAAGAUGGUUCAAGUAUGUAAAACUUUGAUCAAUUUAAAACAUUGCCUUUAAUAUCUCACUCAUGAUGGAUGAUUUUCUAUGGAUGUUUCCCUCCUGUUCUCUGAUAACCUUCACAGGUGGGUAGGUCUUUACUGCAGGGAUUUGAAGCAGCAGAACUGUCAGUCAAGGAAGCAGUGCCUGAGGGGACCUACUCAUCAACUGAUAGUCUCAAAUUAUUUUGCUUCCAAGUAAUCUGAUUUAUGACACCUAUGAGUUGUUUGCAUUCUUUCAGUAGAGAACCAUUAUUUCACCGUCUUUUGGUGUUUUUUCAAGUCUGCUCUCUUCUGCUGAGUUGGUCUCUCCCCUCACAGUGCUAAGUGUCCUCCUCUGCCACAACAGCCAGUGAUGUGUUUGAUUUGCAGAAUGGCUGAUGAGCCCACUUGUGUGUGAAGUGCAACGUCUCCCACAGCAUGACACGCAAUAAGCUUGUUGCAUCCAUUAAAAAACAAACAUCUGAAACUGAGCACAUUUAAUUUUAUAGUGAAUGUUUAGAAGCUUACACUAUAGAUUUACAUGUAGAUUUUAGAUUAAAGAAUUAUGAGUUAAGUGUAUUUCUGACCAAAUGCCCAUAAGUAGCCUGUCUGCCUUCUUUGAUUAAGUGAAAGCUUGUCUUGCAUCUAAGUCAUUGUUUCUUAAACUAGACUUCUCUACUUUUUAAAAAAUCUUCCUCCUUUGAGUUCAUCACUCAGCUUGCAAGAACUCAAUGAGAAAUUAUUGUUGAUUUUAUCACAUCAGGAUAAACUGCAACAACAAAAGCAUCAACUGGUUCACUGGGGUAUGUUCCAACAAUUAAUACUGUAGAUCAGUUAAAGAUUAGGAACCCAGCCAAAUUGUACAGUAAAUUAUCUAUUUUCACAAGACACAUUUAUCAUCUGUUUUGAACCACUCCAUAGUAGCACUGCUUUAGAGCCAAAUCCUGCUGUAAUUAAAGUGAAUGACAACAUUCACUUUGUCUUCAAUGAGAUCAAGAUUUUGGCCUGUAGGAAGUUCAAUUACAUUUAGUACAGUGAUUUCAUAAUCUAGGUACAUCACAAUGUGUGUGGGUUACAGCGUAAAGAUCUACAUAAACCUGCAAUUCCAUUGCUGUUGUGAGUUUCUGUAUUUUAGUCAUCCUUUUCUACUUUAGAAAAUGGAUUCUUUGUCCACAUAAUUAGUCCAGUAGGUAACUGUUGACUUAGCUUCCUAAAAUUAAAAAAAAAAAAAAAAAUUAAGAUCAGAGAUGUAUACAUUUAUAACUGUAUUGAGGCAUUAACCUACAUAUGUAUUAGGCUGCAUAUUCAACAUUUUUGGUUGAAACAGCUUGUGAUAGCAUGUCGUAAUACUUUGUUAUAAAAUUUCUAUUUCUCUAUUGUGCCACCUUGCUUCAUGGGAGUAGUAGUUUGGGUUCCCAUUCCCACCCCCGCCCCAUAGGCUGAGCUUCCUUCCCAGAGUACAUCUCCCAGCAUACAACGUGGUCACCCCUCUGCCCAAGUUGUGUGGUGUGCCUUGAGUCUCACAUCACUUCAAUUGCAUCAUUGGUGAUCUAGUCUGGCCAGGUGGCCUGGGCUAUAACGGAGAAUGGGGAGAUCAGACAACUCCCAUAAAGCCAUGCAACACACUAAGGAAAUGGAAAUCAUUGUUGAACUGACUCUAAAUGAAUUUUUUUUGGAGGUUCAGUUCAGCUAACCAAAAUGAAACAUUUUUGAUUUGGGAAUGUUGAAACGUUUCAUUUUGAUAAAAAAUGAGAAACUCUUUUGCUAUUUCCAAACUGAUUUUUUUUGGAAUUUCCAUUUUGCAAAAGAACUGAUAUUUCAAUUUUUUUGUCCCAGUUUGGGAUAAAAAUGGUAAAGUAUUGGAAUUUCUCAAAGGACAAAAAUUCUGAAUUUUUGCUCCACUUCUGAUGCCCCCAAAUAAAACUAUACUAGUGGCCUAUAUAUGAGCAAAGGGAUUUUUUAAAAUGGGAGAUUGUCAAAGCUAAAGCUGUAGGCUUUACUUUAAAGUAGAAGAUGGCUGUAGAAGCCCAUCCUCUCAUUCUAAUGUUUGGCAGAGAUGUUGGUAACAUUUAAGGUCAGGGUCCUGCAGUCUUUACUCAUACAACUCCUACUGAAGUCAGUUGCAGGGGAGGAGCGAUUCCCUUUGUAAAAACUGGGCACAAUGGGACUAGAGUAGUAGGGGAUUGCUUUGAGAUUUGCACAUAAAACAAGAUGAAAAAUCCCUCUUUCCCAGUAAAUAUUGGUUUUAGUCUCCAAAUUUGCUAUGAUAGUUUUUCACAGGAGAAUUUAGUUUUCUAUUUAUUUUUUUGGGACAAGAUUUAAUAACUUUUAGAUGGAACUUAUUAAAAUAUUCCCUCUUCAAACUCUUUCACUGUUUUCCUCGUAUUUCUGUGGUUCUCUAAAAUUAACAAAAAAAUUCAGGUUUUUCAUUUCACACAUCAACUCCUCUUUAAGCUGAUAUAGGUGUACAGGAAUGGGAAAUAUUAAAGUUAUUGCAGUAAUUUGUCACAGCCAAAUGGUUUUGCCAAAGAAAACUACUGGACACACUGACUAUAUGUCAUCCUCCACACACUGUUACAGAGCUAGAGAAGUAUGAAAAAAGUGUUUUGUACGGUGGGACAGAAAGGAAGAAACGGAAGUGUGGAGAAGACAUGGGGAAACAUGAAUGUUGGGGAGAUAAAUAGCCACAAUAAGGGAAGGCGGAAAUACAGAAGUAUAAGCUUCCACUGAUCUCAAGGGGAGCCCUCUGUGUGCAUUGGAAGGUAGAAUUUGAUGCUAUAAUAGCUCUGUUCUCAGAGUAUUACAAGGAACUUUUAAUCUAUGGGGUAAAAGUGUAUGACAGCUCCUCCAGGCUAUACAGCACUGACCUGAUGGGGGACAAAAGAGUAAAUAAAAAUACAUGCCACAUCUGGCUUUUUCAGAACCACAUCUUCCAUGGUAAGAGAGAGGCACAGUGAUCAUUUCUUGUGGGGCAAAGGCAUUGUUGUUGUAUUUCUGAUCCUCCAAACUGUAAGACACAUCCAAAACAUCUUUAGAAAAGCUUAGUAGAAAUAACCAAUCUAAAUAAUUUCUCAGUGUAUUUAUCUGUAUUACAGUGCUAUGGUAGCAACCUCAUAACUAUGGUUGAGAUAGAUUUUCUGUUCUAAACUUAUGAUUUUUGCUUUUCAUUUUCUUCUUUUGGAUACAGAAUAUCCAAUCUUUUUCUCAUACUCUCUUAACUUUUGGGUGCAUUUUAACUCCAGAAUAGAUAACAUGGAUUUUAUUUGCACAUGAGAACAGUUGACUGGUAAGAAAUAUAUUAACAAGCAUUCCUACAGUCAGAUAAACUCGAUAUCAGCUUGAUUUUAAAAUUUCCAACUUGGUAUGCAUGGCACAUAGUCCUGGAUGAGGAGUAUGUGCUUUGCUUGAAGAGAUCUAGUUUCAAAAUAACAAAAUUAUGGACAUUUUAAAAUGUAUCCUGAGUUUGCACAGCAGGUUUAAUCUUAACUUCAGAAGCAAGCACCAGGGUGUGAUGCUCUGAAUAUUCACCAGCGAGGGUAUUUGAAAGCUCACACCUACAUGUAUUUUAAUGUGUGAUCACUCUUAAGAACUGCAAUGUUUCAAGUAAAAUUUACAAAAGGAAUAAGGGGAUGGAACCCUUAUUAUAUAUCAUAUAACAAAUUUCUAUUUCCAGUCUAAAUUAAAGAGCAUAGGCAAAGCAUGUAGCAUACUCACAUUUCAACAGCUCCUUUAUUUUCAUGUUGUUUCUCCUUUGAAUUGUUUUUCAUUUCUUUAAAAACUAGGUGUGUUUUGGAGAAGCCCCUGUGACAUUGCUCAUGCGGUUUCCUAUCUAGCAAAAUGGGAAAUGUGCUUCCCUCUAUUCCUCUUUCAGUGGAGCUGUUUCCAGGUUGUUUAUGAUGACCUGGAAACAAGUAUUCCAUCUUGGGAUAACAGAAGCACAAGAGGAGGUUACACAAAGCAGCCCUGCAUUUUCAAAGCAGAAUACUGCAAAUUGUUCUUGUAAAAAAAAAAACAAAAAACAAAAAAAAACCCCAAAUGAUAUUGGAAACAAGGCACCUGGCAACAUAAUAUGUUCAAUUCAACCUCAUAUUCAUAUUGUGAUUCAUAUUUGUUAGUUACUAGAACUAGAUGAUCCUCUUCAGACAGAUAGCAGUUUUAGACUCUAAAGGAGACGCUCUCCCUGCUGUUCUGUGACCACUACUUCAGCUGGAAUCAUGCCAGUAGGGUCAUACUCAGACCUGAUAUCCAGUUGAAGUGCCUAUAAAAUCCAGACCAUGAUAUAGCUCAGUGAACCAUGCAGGAGACACUUUGAAAGAAAAGUUAAUGAAAUUUCCUUUUCAAUCCAGCAUCAUAAAUACCUGAAACCAGUGUAGUAAUAAAGACCAUUAUCCAGUGUAAGAUACACCCUUCGUGGACUGUGAUGCUUUUUGGUAUUUUUCAAUAAACAGGCAUCUCCAGUCAUUUGGAACAGAAGAGAAAUUAUUUCCUUUUAAUUUGAAAUAACGUUUCUUAUUUAUGCUAAUAAUCUGUCAUACAUCAAAUGGGAAUGCAAGAGAUGAUUUUUACCAGAAUUAGAUUGGCUUAUUCCCUCAAAGUCUCCCUUCAGCUUUCAUAUAUUUCUAUAGCUUUUAUUAUUAGAAAAUGAAUCUAGUGCCACCUUUUUAUGGCAUUUUAUAAACAUAGGGCCUACUGCCGAUUCCAUUGAGUCAAUGGGAAUUUUACUUUUGACUUCAGUGGAACCAGGAUUGGACCCGGAGGGGGGAGGGGGAAUGUUUCUCUGCCUUGAAGAGUUUUUGCAUUAUUUUAGCCAUAACACAUAACUACAAUGUUACAAUAAGAACUGUUAGAAUUAUUCAUAACAAUAAGACCACCAAACCAGUUUCCUGGGUCGGAGAGUUUUGAUUAGCUCCUUGUGGAACCAGACAUCUUUAGAAUAUAGACCCCUCUGGUUGCUCCGUUGCCCACUGGCCAGCUAGAAGGAGACAGGAGCCAAUUAUCUUCUUGCUCCCCACAAUCUCUAAUUUAAACCUGUGUCCAACAUUUCUUGAGCCUGGUUCCCCAUUUUAGCUGAACUCACCCUCCCUCUCCACAGUUGUAUAGGACCUGUGUUUUUAGGAUGUUGUGGAUCUGACCAAUCACCUGGGUCAGGAAGGAAUUUUUCUUAUCAGGGCCAAAUUGUAGGUGAUUGAGUUUUUUUCGUCUUCCUCAUAGCCUCACGGAGACACAGUUAGGUUAAAUAGGAAUAGGACUUAACAUUAGGAAUUGUAUGACUACUUAGUCCAUUGCAACUUGUAGCUGGUGUCCAGUGCAGAUAAAAGGCUGAAAGGGCCAGCACCCAGAAAUAAGAAACCUGGAAUUUCACUGAUGGACCUCAGGCCUAUGGGGAAAAGGGAGACCUGAAGUCUGCACAGAGCCAGGUCCUUCUUUGAUACGUCUAUCCUCUUCACAAGGAGGAGAGUGAGAGGAUUCAGCAGAGCAAUCUGAAUCCUAGGGGUAGGCAGUGCAGAGUCUUGCCUGUGGUAUGGGCCACAUGAUAGGAGCACUGUAAACCCCACAUUGGAUCCUCUUCUAGGCCUGGAACAGGGAAACAGGGCAGUAACACUGGGGAGGGGUGCUAGGUUUAGUAAAGUUUUGGCCUGCUGUUUAAAAUCCAUCCCAAUGUCUGUCCUCAGCCACCUGAAUGUCCUGAUCGAGUCAUCCAAUGAAUUCUAACAUAUGUAUUAAAAUAGAUUAUUCACUUAUACAUUUUGUCAUUAUUUGACCAGCUCUAUAGAUAAUGGAAUAAUAAUUUGUAUAUGAUUUAUUCUAUACAUUUUCCCCAUUAAUUGCUAAAUUAUUUAUUAGCAAAUAACUUUUUGACCAGUUGUAAUUUCAGACAGACAGACAGGAAACUGCUUAUGGUGAAGUAAGAUACAGACAAACUCCAUUUAUAGUGAAGUAGAAUGAAAGUUCCUAACAGUUUCUGUGCCAUGCAAUGUGCAAACUGCAAUUCCCAUUACACUGAGCCUCUGCUAAGAGUAAAGGUUUUCUAUUAAAAAAAAUCAAAAACAAAAACCCAAUUUCAUUGUAAGUGGGCUUCACUGAUGACUCAAGAUCUUAAUAAAAACUGGCAAGUGUACAAAGGAGAUGUAAAGAGAACUUUCAUGCACAAAAAAGGUGGCAUACUCGAGCCCAACAUUUUAAGAUUGCAGUGUUUAGAGUUAGAACCUAAAACCCAUAUUUAGGCAAUUAAACAAGUGACUUGAUUUUCACAAGUGCUCAGCACCCACAUCUCUACUGAAAAACGGGUUACUUAUUUAGUGAUUUAAGACCCUGAUCCUGCAAACACUGAUGCAUAUUUGCAGUAUCAAGGCUUAAAUAUGGAUUUAGGAACCUAAUUCUAAAACAUCCAGGUCUAGAAAGAUUGGUCCUACUUCUCUUCUGAAACACUUAAUGCUGUUAACAGUAGUAGUAAUCUAUGCAAGUAAUGUCCAAAAGACUCAGAAAAUGUUUUAGUGAAAACCAUCUCUUACACACAAUUGUAUACAACAACAUGUUUUUUAAACUGUUCUGUGUGGAAAGUAUGCUUCUAACAGAAUAUAUGCCUAGGGGAAGUCGCACAAUCUUUAUUUUACAAUACAUUUAUAUUAUUCUACAUCACUGCUCACAUUCUCUUGUGUGGUGGGGACUUACGUGGUGGGGACACAGGUCAUGUUCGCACUAUACCUUUUUAAAGUUGUAUAACUAGACUUGGAAGGAUAAAAUUUUUAUCAGUAAACGUCAGUAAUCAUCAAUUUUAUCAUCCACAGUCCCAAACACAAGAAAAAAUAUUUCCAUCAAUAAUAAUCAAAAUGGGCAAAGUAAGAAAAAUUCUGCUUGAGAACUUAUACGUUUGCUUUAAGAAUAUUUACUCUGUGUAUUUUGACAUGUGAUGUUGACAAUUUGUGUUUUACUGGUUAUAAAAGCUUUAACUUUUUGAAUCUCAAUGUCUAUUGUCAUUAAAUAACCACUGUCUGACCACUC
Caretta caretta (loggerhead turtle) is the source of this 8373-nucleotide non-coding RNA. Lineage: Eukaryota; Metazoa; Chordata; Testudines; Cheloniidae. The record is from RefSeq and is a predicted model, not a curated record.